GUCCACGCCGUAAACGAUGUCAACUAGCCGUUGGAGACCUUAGAGUCUUUAGUGGCGCAGCUAACGCACUAAGUUGACCGCCUGGGGAGUACGGCCGCAAGGUUAAAACUAAAAUGAAUUGACGGGGCCCGCACAAGCGGUGGAGCAUGUGGUUUAAUUAGAUGCAACGCGAAGAACCUUACCGCCCCUUGACAUCCUGGGAACUCGCUAGAGAUAGCUUGGUGCCGAAAGGAACCCAGAGACAGGUGCUGCAUGGCUGUCAU
Molecule: ribosomal RNA, 263 nt
Filed under: uncultured bacterium
Lineage: Bacteria
Description: partial 16S ribosomal RNA
Rfam family: Bacterial small subunit ribosomal RNA
Source: RNAcentral